CCUACGGGAGGCAGCAGUGGGGAAUUUUGGACAAUGGGCGAAAGCCUGAUCCAGCAAUGCCGCGUGCAGGACGAAGGCCUUCGGGUUGUAAACUGCUUUUGUACGGAACGAAACGGUCUCUUUUAAUACAGGGGGCUAAUGACGGUACCGUAAGAAUAAGCACCGGCUAACUACGUGCCAGCAGCCGCGGUAAUACGUAGGGUGCAAGCGUUAAUCGGAAUUACUGGGCGUAAAGCGUGCGCAGGCGGUUAUAUAAGACAGAUGUGAAAUCCCCGGGCUCAACCUGGGACCUGCAUUUGUGACUGUAUAGCUAGAGUACGGUAGAGGGGGAUGGAAUUCCGGCGUGUAGCAGUGAAAUGCGUAGAUAUGCGGAGGAACACCGAUGGCGAAGGCAAUCCCCUGGACCUGUACUGACGCUCAUGCACGAAAGCGUGGGGAGCAAACAGGAUUAGAUACCCUGGUAGUCCACGCCCUAAACGAUGUCAACUGGUUGUUGGGUCUUCACUGACUCAGUAACGAAGCUAACGCGUGAAGUUGACCGCCUGGGGAGUACGGCCGCAAGGUUGAAACGUUAAAGGAAUUGACGG
Molecule: ribosomal RNA, 587 nt
Filed under: uncultured bacterium
Lineage: Bacteria
Description: bacterial SSU rRNA
Rfam family: Bacterial small subunit ribosomal RNA
Source: RNAcentral